Molecule: long non-coding RNA, 1310 nt
Filed under: Equus asinus (donkey)
Lineage: Eukaryota; Metazoa; Chordata; Mammalia; Perissodactyla; Equidae
Description: lncRNA (ENSEASG00005023711.1)
Source: RNAcentral
GCUUCAUAGGAGCAGAGGGGGUUGGUUUGCAAUCCUGGAGUGGAUUGGGGCUAGAGGUCUGGAAGCCGGGACUUUCUCCGUGGCCGGUGGCUGUGAGAGAUGCAUAUUGCGUCGUUCUUUCUAUUUUUUUGUGACAGAGCAGAGCAGAGGCUUUUUUUUGGUUCAAACGGGAGUCAGGGGCAAGGCCGAGCAGAGAAGCAGAGCAGCUGUCAGGAGAAUUCAGGCUGGAGCAGGCUCAGGGCCCAGGGAGAGGGGGGACACAGCGAAACGGGACAUCUGCUGGCCAGCCACGGCCCCGCGUCGCCCUCCCGGGCCCAGUUGCUUAGGAGAAGGAAGGAAACCAGCCUUUUCCCACUGCCAUUGUGUCCCUGACAGGCUUUGUAAACAGAGAGGGAGAAGAAGAAAAAAAGAGCCAAAAGGAAAAAAUAAAUUCUGGAAUCAGACGAUACACUCAGUUAUUCAUUCAGCAACAUCGAGUGAGGCCUGCUGUGUGCCAAGAACAAUGGGUGAAUGGACAGUGACGAGUUUGACCCCCUGGGUGUGGAGUCAGACCACCUGCGUUUGCACCUGCUGCCGACAGACCUGCUCCUCACCUCUCUGAAUCCCAGUGUUUUCGUCUGUCACGGGGAGCAGGACUCGUUCCCAGCUUGCAGGACUAGAAAUGGCCUGGACAGCUGACUCGUCUGGGGUGGAGUCUGAGCGUACCCUGAAGCAUCCUUGUACAUUUGAAGCUGUUUCCUGGAUGAUUCUCUCUCACCAUGGCAUGUGAGUUUUACUAGUUUAUCACUCAGAAGUCCUCGUAUGUGAGGCCAUGAGAAACCUUCAUGUUGGACAGAGCUAACAAUUUGGGCAACUUCAUCAGCCUGCUGAGGAGAAAGCAUUGGCUGCCUGCAGUAUUCUCUUGGAGCAAUUUCUACAUGGUAAGAGAAGUCCUAGGUAGUAAAGACAUGGAAUUAAAGCUGUAUUAAAAUGUAGGAAACGAGACAUCUGGGGGGUCAGAGAGGUGGUGGGUGGAAUAACAGUGCCUAUCAGAAGCCCUGGCUCUUUCCUGAAACUUCCUGCCCGUCUACGCUGAAGGCCAUCACUAAAGAUUUCCAAGUGGACUUUUGCAGGCUUCCCCUUCAUUACUGCCGGUCAGUUACAAUCCUACCCAUUGUCAAGGUCCAUCUGAAUGCUCCAUUUUCUGUGAAGUUCUGCUUGAAUGCCCAGUUAGAAGUAAACACUCUUUUCCCCACGUGCUCAUAGUGCCCUUAAUUAGUUCUUUCAAUCUCUCUGUCUUUCCUAUCUGUCUAUUUAUCUCUCCCUAUUUG